Long non-coding RNA from Trifolium pratense (red clover), 1036 nucleotides. RefSeq lists it as uncharacterized. The transcript is spliced from 3 exons. Lineage: Eukaryota; Viridiplantae; Streptophyta; Magnoliopsida; Fabales; Fabaceae. The record is from RefSeq and is a predicted model, not a curated record.
GUUGGUAAUUUGAGCAUGAAGAGUAUUUAAUUGCCUAACCACUCCAAGAUCACUCAUUUUCUAUCCAAUUGAUUUCUCAGUAUCCAUUCCAAUACUCCCUCUUCUCUCUCACGCCUACUCCCUCACACUCUAACCAUUCUCUUCAAUUCAAGCUUUGAACUAAGGAAAGGAAGCAUGGAUUCUUACAUGCAAUCAUGGUAGCAACUUCUCUAGCCAUAAGUAAACAAGAGCUUGUAUGUGAGUUAUAGUAGCCAAGGAGUCAUGGGUUCAUGUUUGAAGCUUGAAGUUUUGAGUGGUGACUUUUGAAAGAGAUUGUGUUGAAUUUCGUUUUUGGAUAUACUUUCAGAAAAACAGUAAGUACUCCUUCCCUGUAACUCCAAUCGAGUUAAUUCUUUAAGUUCUGUAAAGCUAACGAAUUUACCCUCGUUGGCAUAUCAAAUUUUAUCGGAUUCGGAGUUACAAUGCAUUAUGUAGGUGAUGUUAAAGUUGAAGAUAGGAAACAGGAUUUCUGCAGAAAAUGUGUUUGGACAGUGCUGCACUUAAAGGUUAACUGCGCCCUCUCUAUAACUCGGUUUGAGAUUCCGUUUGCUUCUAUGGAUAGCUAACUCGAUUACGGUCGGUAUGGUUCCGGUUUUGUGAAUUUUCAAUAAGGGAUGAGGUCUGUAUGAAUUUUUGAAGUUGAUACUCCGAUGCAGAAUUCUGCAGAAAGGUAUGGGUACGGGUUUGAAGCAUUUCGAUUGAAAUUAUGCAUAUCGGCGAGCUCUGGAAAUGACAAUGGUAUUGUUCAAGCGUAUUUGCAGAUAAACAGGUUGAUCAAGAUAUCAUGGUGUGCAAGCAUGAAGUUCAGAUACUUGGAUUAUGCUAGUUGAGCUGACGUCAUGUUAUCUUAUAUUUGUAUAAGAUUUAGUUUCUUUAUGUUUUCAGUUGUUAGCUCAAUUUAGUAUUAAUCUCUUGGAUUUUGUAAUCCUAUUUAUGUAUUCGGACAAUAUGUAAUGAAAAUUUAAUGUUUCCCGAUUCAGUUAUGUAUACUCUUAUC